Molecule: ribosomal RNA, 253 nt
Filed under: uncultured bacterium
Lineage: Bacteria
Description: partial 16S ribosomal RNA
Rfam family: Bacterial small subunit ribosomal RNA
Source: RNAcentral
UACGUAGGUGGCGAGCGUUGUCCGGAAUUACUGGGUGUAAAGGGCGUGUAGGCGGGACUGUAAGUCAGAUGUGAAAUUCCAGGGCUUAACUCUGGCGCUGCAUCUGAAACUAUGGUUCUUGAGUGUCGGAGAGGAAAGCGGAAUUCCUAGUGUAGCGGUGAAAUGCGUAGAUAUCUGGAGGAAUACCGGUGGCGAAGGCGGCGUUCUGGACUGCAACCGACACUGAUGAACGAAAGCCAGGGGAGCAAACGGG